AGUACCUUUAAUUCAGUCCCGAGAGGCUGGCAAGGUAGCGUGAAUAAACGAUCGAUCCGACGGAUUCCGCAGAAGGAAUGACGCCAGAGCGCGCUUGACGUGCGCCCGAAGGCGAUUCUCUGUCUGCAUCCGGGUCGGUAAAGCUCCUUGCGGCACGAUUCGCAAGGAGCUUUUUUUGC
Paenibacillus sp. 32O-W is the source of this 179-nucleotide non-coding RNA. NCBI's taxonomy places the organism in Bacteria, Bacillati, Bacillota, Bacilli, Caryophanales, Paenibacillaceae. The record is from Rfam.